RNAcentral lists this ribosomal RNA (384 nucleotides) under uncultured bacterium. RNAcentral describes it as "bacterial SSU rRNA". It matches the Rfam family "Bacterial small subunit ribosomal RNA", at positions 28 to 405 of the family's 1533-position model. The record is from RNAcentral.
GAUGAACGCUGGCGGCGUGCCUAAUACAUGCAAGUCGAACGAGGCCCUUUGUAUUCGUACGAAGGUGUCCUAGUGGCGAACGGGUGAGUAACACGUUGGUGACCUGCCCCGAAGAAGGGGAUAACUCCGGGAAACUGGAGCUAAUACCCUAUGUGCUCCAAGGAGUUAGAGGGCCUUGGAGUAAAGGAGCAAUCCGCUUUGGGAGGGGCCUGCGGCCCAUCAGCUAGUUGGUAGGGUAACGGCCUACCAAGGCUAUGACGGGUAGGGGACCUGAGAGGGUGGCCCCCCACAAUGGCACUGAAACACGGGCCAUACAUCUACGGAUGGCAGCAGUACGGAGUAUUGCACAAUGGGCGAAAGCCUGAUGCACCAACGCCGCGUGCG